This is a long non-coding RNA of Suricata suricatta (meerkat), 766 nucleotides long. RefSeq lists it as uncharacterized. The record is from RefSeq and is a predicted model, not a curated record. The transcript is spliced from 2 exons. NCBI's taxonomy places the organism in Eukaryota, Metazoa, Chordata, Mammalia, Carnivora, Herpestidae.
CGCCCACAUCACCUCCCCAGCUCUUCAAAGACCGCCGUCUUCCUCCUGGGUGCCUGGGUGUAUCUUACCAGCUCCCCAGCAUUGCCCGGCUGUGCCGUGAGUGGACUAUGCUCCCGAUGAAAUCCCUGCCGGCGUUUUGUUCAGUCUCCAGGGCAGGGCUCUUGUGUACUCUCCGGCACCCUCUGUGGGUUUCCGCUCUGCAGCCCUGAAGGCUGAUUAAGGGACACUUUCCAAACCACAGGGCCCUCCCUUUGUCAGUGUCCCACACUCUUUUGUCGCCUGCGUUAUCCCCUCAUUUCAGUCUGUAUGCGAUCUCAUAUUUCAAACGGUCUUCAGUUUUCUAAAAUUCUAUAGAUUUCCGCCACUUAGUCUUUUCUAGACUUAUUUUUAAUUUUCUUCUUGUAAAUUCACAUUAUUCUUGUUAUCUACAAACAAGCUAGUCGUUUCCUUUUUUCUUCGUUAGUCUUUGCUCUUCCUGAGUAUUUGCUAAUAGCCUUGGUCUUAAGGACUCAAACUCAUUACAGGCUAGGUACUCUUCAUUUUUAUUUGGUAUAUAAUUCUGUCCUUUUUUUUUUUAUGUCAAAGGAAGAAAUGUAUGUGAACGCCUCUUACAAACCAGAGAGCACUAUACAGUCAUAUAACUUAUUGAGAUUAACAAAGGACCUCUGUGCCUCUUUUCAUGCUUUCUGCUCCUUCUGAGCCAAAAGAACUUCUCCGGAGAGGAGGGAAAUAUUGAAGAAAAAUAAAGCAAUGGAGUUGUCUCUUA